RNAcentral lists this ribosomal RNA (256 nucleotides) under uncultured bacterium. Its description in RNAcentral is "partial 16S ribosomal RNA". It matches the Rfam family "Bacterial small subunit ribosomal RNA", at positions 524 to 776 of the family's 1533-position model. The record is from RNAcentral.
UACGGGGGGGUGCGAGCGUUGUCCGGAAUCACUGGGCGUAAAGGGUGCGUAGGUGGUUUGAUAAGGGUGUGGUGAAAGUCCGGGGGCUCAACCCCCGGAUCUGCCGUGCCGACUGUCAAACUCGAGGACUGUAGAGGCAGACGGAAUUCCGGGUGUAGCGGUGGAAUGCGUAGAGAUCCGGAGGAAGACCGGUGGCGAAGGCGGUCUGCUGGGCAGUUUCUGACACUGAGGCGCGACAGCGUGGGGAGCAAACAGG